Molecule: long non-coding RNA, 1462 nt
Filed under: Aquilegia coerulea
Lineage: Eukaryota; Viridiplantae; Streptophyta; Magnoliopsida; Ranunculales; Ranunculaceae
Description: long non-coding RNA (ACOE_LNC001688)
Source: RNAcentral
UAUAUCCGAUGACUAUGAUGAAGUACAGCAGCAAAAACCUGCAUGCAUAAUUGAAUUGUCAAUAUAAUAACAUUGCAAAAUAAAAUGAUAGAACAUAAAAAAAAACAACAACUGCUAGCUCAGUUGGUUUGUUAUCCCUCUCAAACAUUCCCACGAGUGAGAGGUUGUGAGUUCAAUUCCCAUCAACAGUGUUUGGGGGAAUUUCUCAUGUAAUUCUUAGGUCGGUCAGCCUUUGGGCCUGGUUCGAGAUUAGGAGGCACAUGCAUGCUCUUAUGAUGAUGAUAUAUGGUUAGGUGUUCUCCCCUGAUGAUGAUGUGGCUAGGUGUUCUUCAGCGAAAGCAAGUCCCUGAGUAGUAGAAUUGCUCGAGUUGUAAGGUGGCGGUGUGGACGCUUAGGUGGUAGGAUCAGUAGCCUUCGGGCCAGGAUUAAUAUACCAAAUUUAAAAAAAAAAAGAUAGAACAUCAACAUUAGAGAAUUAUGACACCUUACAGUACCUCCAACACAGGCAUCUCCAGUGGAAACCUUGCGUAUGCUAUUACAGGUCAUUCCCAGUAGUAAUAAGCAAAGAAAUUACAAAUUGACAUGGGCAUUCUUUACAGGUUGAUCCAAGUAAAAAGUCCUAAAAAUUGAAAAGCAAUACACAUAUAUGAAUCUGGACAGCGCCAUCAGAAAAUGGCUCAAUCCAACACAACGCAACAGAUUGACUUUACGGUUUGCACUUUGCAGCUACCAUAUACAAAUACAUGACAGCAAAUAGACCUUAAAUGGUACUUCUACUCUACUACUACAACUAAUAAGAAAAAGGUGAGGGAAAAUGCCAGUGCUAUCUACACCAGAAUAAAUACAAAGAAAGUACUGAUUGAAUUGUAUGCCUGCUGUACGGUUGAGGGUUAAAACAACAUUAAGCUUUGAUUUCAGUUGGAGUCGACUAAAAACGACAUCAUAAUUUAAAUAUUUAUAGAAUUGAAAAUUACUCACCUUCGCCAGAACACGUCUAUUAACCUCCAUUCACGCUGUGUUUUUUUAUGUUUAUAACUUAUAUCUUCAAUUCCUUCAAUAUGGGCACUUUUGGCAGAACACGUUUUGCCAAAUCUUUUGUUAGUUGCAGGCUGGUGUCUGUGAUGAUAUACAAAACUUGGAGAAUAUUAGAACAAAGAUACGGUAAAAAAAAGAAAACCAUAGUAAAUAAACACAAAGUUGUAUAGAAAAAAAAAAAAAAAAAACACUACUUAAAGUAGAUAACAAUAACAUAAUUGAAUAUGAAUAGAAUAGUACAGUCACAAUUAUAAUCUCAGAUUAACCCAAUCACAUAAGUUAAUACUUGUAAUAGUGCUCUGCUAGUCUUCUAUUUGACGCAAUCACUGCAACUCCUUUCAAAUUCACUCUGAGAAGCAACUCUCAAAUCUCUGUUGUUGUUGAUGAUGAUGAAGAACAGUAGAAGAAGGAUGAACGAUUCUCACAU